This 273-nucleotide long non-coding RNA is filed under the name Elaeis guineensis (African oil palm). Its description in RNAcentral is "long non-coding RNA (EGUI_LNC053228)". The record is from RNAcentral. Lineage: Eukaryota; Viridiplantae; Streptophyta; Magnoliopsida; Arecales; Arecaceae.
GCUACAGAAAUAAAAUAAUAAUCUUUUAAAUCUAAUCUAAAUCCUAACAGUAAUCGAAGAGGAUAAGUACCAAUGGCUUCUGCAGUAACUUUUACUCCAUUAUCGAAUUGAAGGAUCAUGUCACCUUCCCUCAACCUCCUACUUUCUAUUAGACUUUGCAUUGAGGUACAUAUAUGAGCACUCGAAUCAGAGUCUAAUACCCAACUAGAAGUAGAAGAAAUCAUAAGAUUAGAUUCAAUUAUAAGUAUACCUUCUGAAGAUUUAUCACCCUUU